UCCCUGGUGGCUCAGAGGAUAAAGCGUCUGUCUGCAAUGCAGUAUACCUGGGUUCAAUCCCUGGAUUGGGAA
This 72-nucleotide transfer RNA is filed under the name Bos taurus (domestic cattle). It matches the Rfam family "tRNA". Rfam says of the family: Transfer RNA (tRNA) molecules are approximately 80 nucleotides in length. Their secondary structure includes four short double-helical elements and three loops (D, anti-codon, and T loops). Further hydrogen bonds mediate the characteristic L-shaped molecular structure. tRNAs have two regions of fundamental functional importance: the anti-codon, which is responsible for specific mRNA codon recognition, and the 3' end, to which the tRNAs corresponding amino acid is attached (by aminoacyl-tRNA synthetases). tRNAs cope with the degeneracy of the genetic code in two manners: having more than one tRNA (with a specific anti-codon) for a particular amino acid; and 'wobble' base-pairing, i.e. permitting non-standard base-pairing at the 3rd anti-codon position. The record is from Rfam by way of RNAcentral. RNAcentral also lists the same sequence under 3 other names. Lineage: Eukaryota; Metazoa; Chordata; Mammalia; Artiodactyla; Bovidae.